This 484-nucleotide ribosomal RNA is filed under the name uncultured bacterium. RNAcentral's name for it is "partial 16S ribosomal RNA". It matches the Rfam family "Bacterial small subunit ribosomal RNA", at positions 30 to 507 of the family's 1533-position model. The record is from RNAcentral.
AUUGAACGCUGGCGGCAGGCCUAACACAUGCAAGUCGAGCGGAUGAAGGGAGCUUGCUCCUGGAUUCAGCGGCGGACGGGUGAGUAAUGCCUAGGAAUUUGCCUGGUAGUGGGGGAUAACGUCCGGAAACGGGCGCUAAUACCGCAUACGUCCUGAGGGAGAAAGUGGGGGAUCUUCGGACCUCACGCUAUCAGAUGAGCCUAGGUCGGAUUAGCUAGUUGGUGGGGUAAAGGCCUACCAAGGCGACGAUCCGUAACUGGUCUGAGAGGAUGAUCAGUCACACUGGAACUGAGACACGGUCCAGACUCCUACGGGAGGCAGCAGUGGGGAAUAUUGGACAAUGGGCGAAAGCCUGAUCCAGCCAUGCCGCGUGUGUGAAGAAGGUCUUCGGAUUGUAAAGCUCUUUAAGUUGGGAGGAAGGGCAGUAAGUUAAUACCUUGCUGUUUUGACGUUACCAACAGAAUAAGCACCGGCUAACUUCGUG